UACGUAGGGUGCGAGCGUUGUCCGGAAUUAUUGGGCGUAAAGAGCCUGUAGGCGGUCUGUCGCGUCUGCUGUGAAAAUCCGGGGCUCAACCCCGGACUUGCAGUGGGUACGGGCAGACUAGAGUGUGGUAGGGGAGACUGGAAUUCCUGGUGUAGCGGUGAAAUGCGCAGAUAUCAGGAGGAGCACCGAUGGCGAAGGCGGGUCUCUGGACAGUUCCUGACGCUGAGGCACGAAGGCCAGGGGAGCAAACGGG
Molecule: ribosomal RNA, 253 nt
Filed under: uncultured bacterium
Lineage: Bacteria
Description: partial 16S ribosomal RNA
Rfam family: Bacterial small subunit ribosomal RNA
Source: RNAcentral